Molecule: transfer RNA, 87 nt
Filed under: Myxococcales bacterium
Lineage: Bacteria; Pseudomonadati; Myxococcota; Myxococcia; Myxococcales
Description: tRNA-Ser
Rfam family: tRNA
About the family: Transfer RNA (tRNA) molecules are approximately 80 nucleotides in length. Their secondary structure includes four short double-helical elements and three loops (D, anti-codon, and T loops). Further hydrogen bonds mediate the characteristic L-shaped molecular structure. tRNAs have two regions of fundamental functional importance: the anti-codon, which is responsible for specific mRNA codon recognition, and the 3' end, to which the tRNAs corresponding amino acid is attached (by aminoacyl-tRNA synthetases). tRNAs cope with the degeneracy of the genetic code in two manners: having more than one tRNA (with a specific anti-codon) for a particular amino acid; and 'wobble' base-pairing, i.e. permitting non-standard base-pairing at the 3rd anti-codon position.
Source: RNAcentral
GGAGGAGUGGCCGAGUGGUCGAAGGCGGCGGUCUUGAAAACCGUUGGGCCGGUGACGGUCCCGGGGGUUCGAAUCCCUCCUCCUCCG